UAACAAUCUAAAGCCACGGUCG
Molecule: microRNA, 22 nt
Filed under: Gallus gallus (chicken)
Lineage: Eukaryota; Metazoa; Chordata; Aves; Galliformes; Phasianidae
Description: gga-miR-132b-3p
Gene: gga-miR-132b-3p
Source: miRBase by way of RNAcentral